AGAGUUUGAUCAUGGCUCAGAACGAACGCUGGCGGCGUGCUUAACACAUGCAAGUCGAGCGAGAAAGGGGGGGCAACCCCCUGAGUAGAGCGGCGCACGGGUGAGUAACGCGUGGGUAACCUACCCCCAGGCGGGGGAUAACCACUCGAAAGGGUGGCUAAUACCGCAUGAGACCACGAGAUCUUCGGAUCUUGCGGCUAAAGAUUGCACCGGCUUGCCGGUGCCGUCACCAGGGGAUGGGCCCGCGUCCGAUUAGCUAGUUGGCGAGGUAAUGGCUCACCAAGGCUACGAUCGGUAGCUGGUCUGAGAGGAUGAUCAGCCACACUGGAACUGAAACACGGUCCAGACUCCUACGGGAGGCAGCAGUGAGGAAUAUUGCGCAAUGGGGGAAACCCUGACGCAGCAACGCCGCGUGGGUGAAGAAGGCCUUCGGGUCGUAAAGCCCUUUCGGACGGGACGAACGCUUCGCGGUGAAAGCCGCGAAGUCUGACGGUACCGUAGGAAGAAGCACCGGCUAACUCCGUGCCAGCAGCCGCGGUAAUACGGAGGGUGCGAGCGUUGUUCGGAAUUACUGGGCGUAAAGCGCGUGUAGGCGGCCUUGCAAGUCAGGCGUGAAAGCCCUCGGCUUAACCGGGGAAGUGCGUCUGAAACUGCUUGGCUUGAGUACGGGAGAGGGAGGCGGAAUUCCCAGUGUAGAGGUGAAAUUCGUAGAUAUUGGGAGGAACACCGGUGGCGAAAGC
This 740-nucleotide ribosomal RNA is filed under the name uncultured bacterium. RNAcentral's name for it is "bacterial SSU rRNA". It matches the Rfam family "Bacterial small subunit ribosomal RNA", at positions 8 to 722 of the family's 1533-position model. The record is from RNAcentral.